GCAGUGGUGGUUCAGUGGUAGAAUUCUCACCUUCCAUGUGGGAGUCCUGGGUUCAGUUCCCAGUCAAUGCA
This is a transfer RNA of Loxodonta africana (African savanna elephant), 71 nucleotides long. It matches the Rfam family "tRNA". From Rfam's summary of the family: Transfer RNA (tRNA) molecules are approximately 80 nucleotides in length. Their secondary structure includes four short double-helical elements and three loops (D, anti-codon, and T loops). The record is from Rfam. Lineage: Eukaryota; Metazoa; Chordata; Mammalia; Proboscidea; Elephantidae.